GGGCCCUGGCACCGGGGAAAGAGACACCUUGUUGGUGGUGUUCUUGUGUCAGUCAGGGGCAGAGGAGAUGGCAGUCUUUUGUUCAUCCUAGCUCGAUGCCUGGCUUGGUGGCCAAAGCUGUCUUAGGUCUAGAAUGCAUAA
Small nucleolar RNA from Acomys russatus (golden spiny mouse), 141 nucleotides. RefSeq annotates it as small nucleolar RNA SNORA48. The transcript has a single exon. Lineage: Eukaryota; Metazoa; Chordata; Mammalia; Rodentia; Muridae. The record is from RefSeq and is a predicted model, not a curated record.